UUUCUUCAAUUCUUCUCUCUACACAUUGGUGUUCUAACCAAUAAUCACCGAGGCGAUAUUCUGUCCGAUCGAUUCAGGAACCAACAAACGAAUGCCAAAGUGUUGUCUGAAUAAGACUAUACUUUGUGAAUUUUGUUAAGGUUCUGAUCUCGUAACCAUCGUUAGGUUUGAUAUGGUUUUACACAAAUACGUAUUCCACUCUGUUAAACUAUAUGUUUAACUAUCAGAAUACUCCCUACUAUACACUUACAAUCAAACAAGAUGCUUAAUCAUCAGAAGAUUCAGAACUGUAAAGUAGAUGCUUGUUUAAUCAAGACUAUAUGCUAACAAGAUUAAGUCGUGGUUAUCUUGAAUCACUGGCUAGUGGGGUUUUGUGCACAUUACUAAUUUCUCACGGUUAGGCUCAUAAACCUAACAGUGAUAAUCAUCACUACUUGGGUGAAAGGACCCAAUAGUGGUAUGACCAUCGUCACCAGGGUGCGACACGGCGCCAAAUAAAAAUAAGAUAGUAGCCAUUGUAAUCGCACUUAUGCUGUAAUCUAUAACAAUGUGUCAUUUUUGUACAAACUGAAUGAACUCACCAGUAUUUUCUGCUGACCAAAUGUUUUUAAAAUGCGUUUUAGCUAAUUACAGUAGAUCGGAAUAAGAGUUGGAUACGGCACCAAAAGACUUACAGAAGUGGCUUAAUUUAUCAAUUAAAUUAAAUUAAGAAAAGUUGUUUUUUUGUAUUCGGGUUUAUCCCAUAUUAAAGCUACCUUUCAAAACAUGGUUUUAUCCCAUCUAUUUAAUAAAUAAAAUCCGGUGUUUUCUAAACUCUGAUAUUUUUCCUAACUCACGGUACUGAUGAAAUUUCCGCUGCACCACUUUCUAAAUAACCACCGGUACCACUAAACUGGUUCGCGGCUCUCGAUUCUGUCCAGGGUGGGGUCGAAGGUCAUGACAUUUGGCGUUUUAUAUAAUAAUGUAUUUUAUUUAUAGAGAAUUAGAUAACAAAACAACAUAUAACUUGAUAUCAAUACAAUAUAAAAUGAAAACAAAAUAAUUAAAAAUGGUAAUCUAGUUUUUCUUUCCAAUCUUCAAUGUCAUCAGCCUCUUCCUUCUUGAAUUUGUUUUUGGCGUUUUGAACCCUUUUUGAAUAAUUUAGCUAGAUGCCAACUUUCCUUCAUAAACCCCGUCUUUUUUAGAAGAAGCUGCUUAGUGGCAUCCUGUUUUUUGGUGUGAUAUUCUUGUUUGGUGGCAUGUCAUUAAAGAUCAACUCUUGUUUGAUGCUAUUUGUAAUAAUGGAGUCCAAAAUAGCAUUUUACACUUGUGUUGAACCCUUUAAUCCAUCCAUAUAAUCAUCAAGAAGAAAGCUCACAUGAUGGCAUAUCACUGUCAUCAGUCUCUUUUUCUUGAAUAUUUGUCCAUCUCAUUUAGCAAAAUAUUAUUGAGUUAACCCCCUCAGAAAAAGGAUCCAUUUCAGUGAAAGCUUUGCCAUCUGUGGCGUUUUAAAGGUAGUGGGUUCUAGAGGAUAUGGCGAUUAUGUUUUUUUUUUGUUGUGAUUAAUUUCAUUGUGUAUAGACCCUCUCUUAGAGGAGUUUUUUGGCGCGUAGUUUAGGCGGGACUUUUUAUUGUAAUAAAUGAUAGUAAUAAAGUAACUGUCUUUUCAGUUACGGUUUUUGUAUUUACUGUGUUGAUCAGCUUUUAUCAGUUUUAUAGGUUAUAGACGUCCCAUCUUCUAAUUUUGGCGUUUUAUUUAAAUGGCGUUAUGCAGACCAACAUGAAAAAAUACAGUAACGGAGUAAAUAAAAUAUUAAGCAGGAAAAACAUUUUUUAUUAUUUUUGGCGUUUUGUUAGGGUUAACCAUUUUUAGUAUUUUUUUAGCGUUUUGCUAAUAAAGAUAGAAAUAUAUCGUUUAAUUAUCUUAAAAAAAGAAGAUUACAUAGUAG
This 1928-nucleotide long non-coding RNA is filed under the name Helianthus annuus (common sunflower). RNAcentral's name for it is "hypothetical non coding rna". Lineage: Eukaryota; Viridiplantae; Streptophyta; Magnoliopsida; Asterales; Asteraceae. The record is from RNAcentral.